Molecule: ribosomal RNA, 431 nt
Filed under: uncultured bacterium
Lineage: Bacteria
Description: partial 16S ribosomal RNA
Rfam family: Bacterial small subunit ribosomal RNA
Source: RNAcentral
CGAACGCUGGCGGCAUGCCUAACACAUGCACGUCGAACGAGACCUUCGGGUCUAGUGGCGCACGGGUGCGUAACGCGUGGGAAUCUACCCUCAGGUUCGGAAUAACUCAGAGAAAUUUGAGCUAAUACCGGAUGAUGACGUAAGUCCAAAGAUUUAUCGCCUGAGGAUGAGCCCGCUUAGGAUUAGGUAGUUGGUGAGGUAAAGGCUCACCAAGCCGACGAUCCUUAGCUGGUCUGAGAGGAUGAUCAGCCACACUGGGACUGAGACACGGCCCAGACUCCUACGGGAGGCAGCAGUGGGGAAUAUUGGACAAUGGGCGAAAGCCUGAUCCAGCAAUGCCGCGUGAGUGAUGAAGGCCUUAGGGUUGUAAAGCUCUUUUACCCGGGAUGAUAAUGACAGUACCGGGAGAAUAAGCUCCGGCUAACUCCGUG